GGGGAUGUAAUGGUUUCGACGGGGGUGUAGAAGUAGGAUAAGCGAGCCGCAGUUGCCCAGUCUGCGUAAUAAGGGGCGCGUUAAAGAUAAACGGAAAAACUAACAAAUCUUUCGCACUGGCUGCUUGAUCAGCCCGCGACGUCUCUCGUGAUUCACCUGUAGGUUACGAAUCGGACGCAAGAAUACAGGAAAACUCUGUGUGAGUUCUCGGUAGCACAGGGGACCAACGAGAUAGUCGCUUUUGCAGAUUGCCGAAUGAACUGUAGAAACGGCGAAACAUCGAUCAUCGGAUGCGCUCGGAGAAAAUCCUGAUGGAAAUGCUUUCGGACGUGGGUUCGACUCCCACCAUCUCCACCA
This 357-nucleotide transfer-messenger RNA is filed under the name Eubacteriales Family XIII. Incertae Sedis bacterium. It matches the Rfam family "transfer-messenger RNA". Rfam says of the family: Bacterial tmRNA, also known as 10Sa RNA or SsrA, is named for its dual tRNA and mRNA-like properties. Its role is to liberate the mRNA from a stalled ribosome. The record is from RNAcentral. Lineage: Bacteria; Bacillati; Bacillota; Clostridia; Peptostreptococcales; Anaerovoracaceae.